CGGAAGGAGCCAUGUUUGCAUGUAAGGCAGCCUAGGGGCACCGCUCGGGGCGGAGUCUCGCGGGAAGGGACCCCGUCUUGAGGCCUUUUAAUCCCAGAGACUUCUAUAAUGACGUGGACGGGGCUCCCGGGAGGAGCCUGGGGACGUCGGGUCGGUGAGGCAAAGAGCCGCUGAGUGACUAGUCUUUUGGCUCACAGUGACUAGUCAGCCCUGGAUCAGAAGCGUUGGCCGAGGCCCUAGAGGUUAAAGCUGUAGGGGAAGGGUUUCUUUGUUUCCUCAUCGGUACCCGGAAGGUAGAAAAACUGAAUAACUGUUUCUCCCAGGUCCUCCCGAGUUUCUCCAGGGACCAGCCAAGAUGGCCAUGGAGGCGGUGGCCUGAAUGGUCAGCAGGCUAAAGAAAAGGCCAGAUGAGAAAUACAGAGGCCAAAGGGAUGACAUAAUUUGCCAAAAGUCAUGAAGUUAUUGAAAUAGGAAGGACUAAAAUUAGAACCAAGGUCUUCUUACUCAUCAUUCAGGUGCCCUUCUACAACAAUGAGGUUUCAAGCUAGAAAAGGAGGUAGUCCUCUCCUACAGCAAGACCAUGAAGCUGAUGGACAGAGCAUUUCUUAAGACUUAGAAAAAGGCCCACAGUGUGUUGGAUAGACUGUCAGACUUCUCAGCACCUACAAGUGGACGUGGAUUAGAGGCACAGAGCAUGAGAAGACUUAGAUGGAAGAGAUAAAGCAAAGGAUUAAAGUACUUCUAGACAAUUCACUAGUUUAAAAAAUGAGGAAUGUGGAAUCUUCCUCUGUGUAGGAAUGAGCUUGGAACAGAUAGGAAAACUGUUUGUAGUAGCUUCAAAUUAGCAAGAAUAAGUAUUUCUAUUAAUAGG
Molecule: non-coding RNA, 871 nt
Organism: Monodelphis domestica (gray short-tailed opossum)
Lineage: Eukaryota; Metazoa; Chordata; Mammalia; Didelphimorphia; Didelphidae
Source: RefSeq, a predicted model, not a curated record